RNAcentral lists this ribosomal RNA (468 nucleotides) under uncultured bacterium. Its description in RNAcentral is "partial 16S ribosomal RNA". It matches the Rfam family "Bacterial small subunit ribosomal RNA", at positions 28 to 507 of the family's 1533-position model. The record is from RNAcentral.
GACGAACGCUGGCGGCGUGCUUAACACAUGCAAGUCGAACGGAAAGGCCCUGCUUUUGUGGGGUGCUCGAGUGGCGAACGGGUGAGUAACACGUGAGUAACCUGCCCUUUACUUUGGGAUAACUUCAGGAAACUGGGGCUAAUACCGGAUAGGAGCUCCUGCUGCAUGGUGGGGGUUGGAAAGUUUCGGCGGUUGGGGAUGGACUCGCGGCCUAUCAGCUUGUUGGUGGGGUAGUGGCUUACCAAGGCUUUGACGGGUAGCCGGCCUGAGAGGGUGACCGGCCACAUUGGGACAGAGGUACGGCCCAGACUCCUACGGGAGGCAGCAGUGGAGAAUAUUGCACAAUGGGCGGAAGCCUGAUGCAGCAACGCCGCGUGCGGGAUGACGGCCUUCGGGUUGUAAACCGCUUUCGCCUGUGACGAAGCGUGAGUGACGGUAAUGGGUAAAGAAGCACCGGCUAACUACGUG